Molecule: ribosomal RNA, 857 nt
Filed under: uncultured bacterium
Lineage: Bacteria
Description: bacterial SSU rRNA
Rfam family: Bacterial small subunit ribosomal RNA
Source: RNAcentral
AAGCUUGCUUUUGAUGGGCGUCGACCGGCGCACGGGUGAGUAACGCGUAUCCAACCUGCCCACCACUUGGGGAUAACCUUGCGAAAGUAAGACUAAUACCCAAUGACGUCUCUAGAAGACAUCUGAAAGAGAUUAAAGAUUUAUCGGUGAUGGAUGGGGAUGCGUCUGAUUAGCUUGUUGGCGGGGUAACGGCCCACCAAGGCGACGAUCAGUAGGGGUUCUGAGAGGAAGGUCCCCCACAUUGGAACUGAGACACGGUCCAAACUCCUACGGGAGGCAGCAGUGAGGAAUAUUGGUCAAUGGACGAGAGUCUGAACCAGCCAAGUAGCGUGCAGGAAGACGGCCCUAUGGGUUGUAAACUGCUUUUAUAAGGGAAUAAAGUGAGAGUCGUGACUCUUUUUGCAUGUACCUUAUGAAUAAGGACCGGCUAAUUCCGUGCCAGCAGCCGCGGUAAUACGGAAGGUCCGGGCGUUAUCCGGAUUUAUUGGGUUUAAAGGGAGCGUAGGCCGGAGAUUAAGCGUGUUGUGAAAUGUAGAUGCUCAACAUCUGAACUGCAGCGCGAACUGGUUUCCUUGAGUACGCACAAAGUGGGCGGAAUUCGUGGUGUAGCGGUGAAAUGCUUAGAUAUCACGAAGAACUCCGAUUGCGAAGGCAGCUCACUGGAGCGCAACUGACGCUGAAGCUCGAAAGUGCGGGUAUCGAACAGGAUUAGAUACCCUGGUAGUCCGCACGGUAAACGAUGGAUGCCCGCUGUUGGUCUGAAUAGGUCAGCGGCCAAGCGAAAGCAUUAAGCAUCCCACCUGGGGAGUACGCCGGCAACGGUGAAACUCAGAGGAAUUGACGGGGGCCCGCACAAG